UGCAGAUUUCAUUCCAAAUUGCUGUACAGUCAGAUAAUGUAAUUACAGAGCUAAAUAAAAACAAAGGGGCAGGGGAAUUGGUGGGGACGUUGGGCAAGGGAAGAUGUUUUCCGAAUGAGCUUAGAGGGGAUGUGGGAAGUCAAGAAGCAGAAACCACUCACGAGGCUUUCAGCUCCAGCGUUGGCAUGAAGCGCAGCCAGAAGGAAUCCCCCAUGGAGCAGACUAAAGCAAAAUUCAGUGUUUAACAAAUAAUCCAAAUAAUCUUUGUGGAGGGUUUGGGGGAAAACGCCAUUUUGACACAAAGUUUGCAGGAUGGAGGAGGAGGAGCAUGGAGAUACUCUCAACAUCCCAUUGUCUUUGGAAACCUGCCCACUAACCUCCAAAAGCCAAAGCCUGGAGGUAAAAGAUGCUCACCCCGCUAUGUCCCAUGUGUCUUAGGGCACAUUUCAAGCGAGCCCUGGGUGCUUAGAAGCAUUUUCAGCACUGGAGAACCCAUCACAGCUGAUCGUGACUUGGCCAACCAUUUAUUACCUUCUCACUUCGAGCCUGACCCUGUUUUGCUUCCAUUUGAUCCAUUUGUAACAUGGAAAACCCUCCUGCCUCCCAUGUCCACGAACCGUGUGGAUAAAUCAUACCUUCACCUUCUUUUGGGGACUGUCUUCCCUCUGGAAGGACAAUGUUUGAGCUCUCCUAGCUUCCUCAGCCCAAACCUCUCAUUUCUUCUGGUCAUGGAGACAGAAUAGAUGCAGAAAAGGAGUGGCAAAUGUGAAACUCAUAGAGAUGCCAACCAGAUCUCCUCUUUCAUGUGUGUUUUUACAAUGGCUUUGCAGUCUGUUUUGACUGCCAGUGAACACAGACAUCGCUCUGGGUAGAGAGGUUGGGGGUCCACAGGGGAGAGUUCCCAGUUCUAGGUCAGAUCUCAGGGUUCAAAGCCUCCCUCCUGAGGGAUUUGCCUGUUGGUUGGUCUUGGCUUUGUGAAACCAGCCCUUAAAACCCACCUGUGUGCCUGCUGCCGAUUUCGUGCUGUUUGCACACAACAAACACCAUCAUUGAUGGCCCCUCCUGCCUGAGGGUCAGCCCCUUCUCCUCCGAUGGGUGAGGUCUAACGCAGAAAUUCUACAAGUCAAGACAUGCUUGAUUAGCAAAUUUCUAUGGAUUAGGUCUAGGAAAUCUAAAGCAUGUUUUGUUCCUGGAAGAGUGAGAUACCCAUAGGUCACUCAGGCUGAAGUCCCUCCUGCUGAGGUGACCUAUUUGGGACAGAUGAUUUAGCCAUGCCAGUCUUGCCACUCCAAUAGCAUCCAAUGGGCUCUUCUGUCCUGACUGGUACCAGAUUUUGACUUUGUCUCUCAAAACUUCCUCAUGACCAAAGCCUGAAAACCCACAUCCUUAUUUUGAAAUCCCUCAGACCUUCCAUGGGUAAGAACAACUGACAGGCUCAUUGCAGCCAGGAGCUCUCCACAUUUCAGUAUGUGCUUUCCAAUAAACGUCAAUCACUUUUCUCUUCUUAUUCCAGUUUCUGGUGUCUGCAGAGAGGACAAUGGUGCCCACAUCUCUGUGGGAUUCCCAGCCUGAAAAGGUUGAAUUCUUCCUGGGACAUCAGCAUCUGAACAGCACUGGGCUUGCCAGAGCUCUGGUUGCUUUUGUCCCCUCCUUUGCCGGGAUCAUGCGCGCCCUGAGUGCUCAAAAAGAACUGCACUGGUACGAGGUGCAGCACAGACUGGGGAUCUCUGCAACAGACUGAAUGCACUGAAAGCCAACUAUGGACAACAGGAGCUCCAAAAACGUCCAGAUUCAGGGAUCCAUAGUACGGCUCUGCUGAAUUCUGCACUUCAGGCAGACACACAAUCCCUUCGUUAAGGAGUAUUCCCUGCAAAAUCCCAGCAUCCAGUGUGGAGUGUGGAAUA
Molecule: long non-coding RNA, 1904 nt
Organism: Catharus ustulatus (Swainson's thrush)
Lineage: Eukaryota; Metazoa; Chordata; Aves; Passeriformes; Turdidae
Exons: 3
Source: RefSeq, a predicted model, not a curated record